Molecule: ribosomal RNA, 253 nt
Filed under: uncultured bacterium
Lineage: Bacteria
Description: partial 16S ribosomal RNA
Rfam family: Bacterial small subunit ribosomal RNA
Source: RNAcentral
UACGUAGGUGACAAGCGUUGUCCGGAUUUACUGGGCGUAAAGAGCGCGCAGGCGGUCGUUCAAGUCGAGUGUGAAAGCCCCCGGCUCAACUGGGGAGGGUCACUCGAUACUGAUCGACUCGAAGGCAGGAGAGGGAAGUGGAAUUCCCGGUGUAGUGGUGAAAUGCGUAGAUAUCGGGAGGAACACCAGUGGCGAAGGCGACUUCCUGGCCUGUUCUUGACGCUGAGGCGCGAAAGCUAGGGUAGCAAACGGG